UCCUCAUCUCCUUCAACUCUAACAUUUUCAAACCCUAAACUUAUGAACUUCAAGAACUGAAACAACAAUUGCUUUCUUUCUCAAACCAUUCGAAAUCCCUCUUCCUCUCAAUCCUGUUCUUCUUUGUCUUCAAUCUUCGAAGGAAAACACAAACCUGACCCUUCUUCUUGGUAUUCGAUUUUCGAAGCACAAUUGCAGUUGGUUUUCAUCUUAUUCCAAGGUUACCAACAAAAAACAACAUCAGGCGACAGCCAUGGUUAAGCUUUCCACACCUUGAUUCUUUGAACUACACAAUAUCUUCGACCCGCUUAAUUCGCUUGAGAUUUUCGAACCAAAACAGUAAGUUUGCCCUCAAAUUCUUGGUACAUCCGAACACGUCAAUAGCUGAAUUCUUUAUUUUUUUUUCCCUCUUUUCUUUGAAACAUAGCUGAAUUUCUAAUUUAUGUUUCUAUUAUUCACAUCCUACUUUCUUGAUUUGUUUUGGGUUGUUUGGUUCUUGAAAAAGGCAGCAACAUCAUCAAAUAUCAUCACCUUCGAGACAUGAUAUGCCAAUGUCGAACCCUGCAAUCAAGUAUUGAUUAGGAAAGUGGCAUCUGAUUGCGUACAUCGAGGUGGAUAGUAACAAUCCCUUAAAGGGGUCUGGCCAUACUACAUUUCUUGAAAAUAAACUUUUACUAAACCUCUUUCGAAAUUGAAAAUUGUUGAGACAAAUGUUGUAGUGACUGCUUACAUUGAUACUAUCAUAUGUUAUAUGGAUCAGACUUGCAAGCUGGUCAUUGACGAAGUUGAAGAACAUUGUCCCUACUCCCUGUUUUUGAGUUUGUUUGCAGAACGCAACCGGUCGAGAACGAUGGGUUAGCGGUGAUGAUUAGAGUUACAGAGAUGUUUAUUGAGCUGAGUUCGUGAGAAGUGUAGUAUUGUAUUAGGUUUUCCAUAAAUGUAUAUUAGAUUUGGUUGUGUUGAUUAUAUUGGACUUAUAGAGUGACUUUUAUGAUCACUUUGUAUUUUAGUUAGAUUUUUGGUUUGAGAAUUAGUUGAGUUAGUUACGCUAAAGAA
Amaranthus tricolor (Joseph's coat) is the source of this 1056-nucleotide long non-coding RNA. RefSeq lists it as uncharacterized. The transcript is spliced from 4 exons. Lineage: Eukaryota; Viridiplantae; Streptophyta; Magnoliopsida; Caryophyllales; Amaranthaceae. The record is from RefSeq and is a predicted model, not a curated record.